This 540-nucleotide long non-coding RNA is filed under the name Malus domestica (apple). RNAcentral's name for it is "long non-coding RNA (MDOM_LNC018426)". Lineage: Eukaryota; Viridiplantae; Streptophyta; Magnoliopsida; Rosales; Rosaceae. The record is from RNAcentral.
ACAAAGGAAACAUGAAAAAGUACUAACAUGAAAAACAUUAGUUUCCCCCUAUGUGACCCUCAUAGAAUUUCAUUUGAGAACACAAAUCAUCAAGAACCAUAGCUAGCAUCAAGGAACUAAUCCAAGUUCAUCUUCCUUAUUCAAAUAUUAGCAGUAAUCUUUGAAUCAUCCUUGAAGUGUAGUGUGUGAGAUAGCCAUGCUAAUGUAAUUUCAAAAUUUUUAUAUUUUUAAAAUCAUCAUAUGCAAACUAGCAACCUUCUCACGGGAUAUACACUCAAUCACACAUGUGUUUAGUUUAAAUGUGUUUCGCUCAAAGAAUCAAAUGUGAAAUUUCUACCAUAAGCUUGCAUAAAGAUCUCAUCUCCACAAUCAUAAUUGCAAAACUUAAAUCAAGAGGACUUUUAUUGGAUGUAAUGAGGUUUAGGGUAAUGAGGUUUAGGGAGAGGGUUAUUGAAAUGAAAGAAUAGGUAAACACAAGUUCCAAGCUACAUUGCAAGCAAUUCUUUUGUUUAGAUUUAUAAUAACUCAAUCUUUCCAGCG